Molecule: transfer RNA, 83 nt
Filed under: Verrucomicrobiota bacterium
Lineage: Bacteria; Pseudomonadati; Verrucomicrobiota
Also listed under: 2 other names
Description: Verrucomicrobia bacterium tRNA-Leu
Rfam family: tRNA
About the family: Transfer RNA (tRNA) molecules are approximately 80 nucleotides in length. Their secondary structure includes four short double-helical elements and three loops (D, anti-codon, and T loops).
Source: RNAcentral
GCCCAGGUGGUGGAAUUGGUAGACACAACAGAUUUAGGUUCUGUUACCCACAAGGUGUGUAGGUUCGAGUCCUAUCCUGGGCA